Molecule: ribosomal RNA, 775 nt
Filed under: uncultured Neocallimastigales
Lineage: Eukaryota; Fungi; Neocallimastigomycota; Neocallimastigomycetes; Neocallimastigales
Description: partial large subunit ribosomal RNA
Rfam family: Eukaryotic large subunit ribosomal RNA
Source: RNAcentral
AGAGAGAGACAUGCGCGCAUAUCAAUAAGCGGAGGAAAAGAAACUAACUAGGAUUCCCUCAGUAACGGCGAGUGAAGCGGGAAGAGCUCAAAUUUGAAAUCUUCAAGGUUCUACCUUGACGAAUUGUAGUUUAAAGAAGUGUUUUCUGUUGGAGUUUUGGUAAAAGUUCUUUGGAAUAGGACAUCAUAGAGGGUGAGAAUCCCGUAUUUGACCAUUAUUUCCAGCUUUGUGAUACACUUUCAAAGAGUCGGAUUGUUUGGGAAUGCAGUCCAAAAUGGGUGGUAAAUUUCAUCUAAAGCUAAAUAUUGGCGAGAGACCGAUAGCGAACAAGUACCGUGAGGGAAAGAUGAAAAGAACUUUGAAAAGAGAGUUAAACAGUACGUGAAAUUGUCAAAAGGGAAGCGUUUGACACCAGUGUUGUUUUUCUGAAAAUCAAUUAAAGAACUGUUUAUGCUAAGCUGUUUAGACUUUAUCAGCUAUCUGUUUAGUUUUGAGCUUUUCUUUAAUGCACUUUUCAGUUAACAAGUCAACAUCAAUUUCUUUUGUUGUAAAAGGGUCAUUGGAAGGUGGCUUUCUUUUCGGAGAAAGUGUUUAUAGCCUUUGGCCUCUGCAAUCGGAGAGAUUGAGGUCUGCAGCGUAGAUCCUUCGGGGUUAGAUACAUUUGUGCUAAGUUAUAGCAUUUCAUAGACAACUUGUUGACUAUGAUUAGUCAUUGUAGCUUACUCGCUUAUGUUAUUUUACCUACGCUUAGGAUGUUGAUGUGAUACUGCGAGCA